Molecule: long non-coding RNA, 3065 nt
Organism: Bombus terrestris (buff-tailed bumblebee)
Lineage: Eukaryota; Metazoa; Arthropoda; Insecta; Hymenoptera; Apidae
Exons: 3
Source: RefSeq, a predicted model, not a curated record
GCGAAAGUAGACGCGUUCUCGGCGAUCGCUGGCGGCCGCGUUAAUUAACUCGUACUCAUACGCGUACUAAAAAUAAUUCGUUUUGUCGCGACGAAACUCGAAGUUAAUCAAACGAUAUUAGAUCGAAGCACGCCGAGAGAUUAAACGGAUCAGCGCAGUGAAAACGGGCGCGAAUGAAAAUUACGCGGAAAUUAUGUAAAAUAAUGGGAAAGUACACGAGGAGGUAAAAUUCUCGUCAUCCGUCCGACUAAUUUCGAUUCGUGCUACCGGCUCGACAAAGCGACUCUUUGAGGAACACGAAUCAAAAAAAGAAGAGAAUUCCUUUCACACUUAUUCUGUCGUCUUUUGAUAGCCUACGGCUAUUCACUAAAGACACUUUCGCCUUUCGUUCUUCAAAUUCCGGAAAAAGCUACGUGAAAAACAUUCCGCUCUUUCAAUCUUCUCAACAUUAUUAAAAAACUGAUUUCACGUCGACGACGACGCCGACGACGACGGUGGAUACGAGCAAGAAAACGAGCGAUACUCGAGAGUGGAGUCAAGAUGACGAGACAGCCGCAUUAUCUCGCGGCACGAACGUAAACAUUGACACGAAUUUUUGCAAGCUUCGCCGUGGUGAACGACGCUGCGAAGGAAAAUCGUGAGCGUGAACGAGGCGAUGCAAGACGCAAGGGCUGCGAGUUACCCUUCAACGGCGUCAAAGCAGCCUCUUCACCAGCCGACACGAUGCCCACGUCCAACGGUAUAAUUCCACGAACAACCAGAAACAGCGCGGUAUCCUUUUUGGCCUUUAACUACAGUAACCAGAACAACAAGGUUUUAUAGAAGAAGGUUCAAACUAUUAAUCAAACUCGCCCAUAAGAUACAACCAGGAACCCUGGAAGAACGAAGCAACCAGAACAGAAUAGAAGAGUAUCGAAGAGGAACAAAACGACGAUGGAAAUGGAAAUGGAGAGGAAAGUGACUGGGAAUUGAACAAAGUGCGGAAAAUGGAUUACGCGUCAGAUGAAGAACCAGCUGCGAACGAGUAGAGGAAUGAAAGGGUGACAAGACAAGUUAGAGCGCGAGACACAACGAAUCGCAGACGCAACGUGGUGAAAAUUUGUGAUACCGUCCCGUGUCAGAAAAUUGGACGAAGCAAGAAGGGGGAGAUCCUGAAAGACGAGAUAUAGAUUUAGGAAGGUGCGAAAGAGAGAAGGAAAAAUAACAGGAAGAGGCAGAGGGUAACUGUAUAGGACCUUAAAAGGUUGGAAAGGAAAGGGUAACAACGAGAACGAGGGAUGAGGUAAAGAAGUAACAGAAGGGGUUAAGAAGGGGUUAAAGCGUGGUGCGCUGGGAAAAAGAGAACCCCGAGGGAAAGGGACAGAUAACGACGGAUAGUUAGAAAAAGGGUGAAGGGCAAGAAUUACGAUGGAAAAAGGAUAGAAAGCUGUGGAUGAUGGAAAAAGGGGAAUAGGUACAAAGAGAAAGGUGAGCGAUUGGUACGAGAGAAAGGAAAGAUUGAGAGAGAGGAGGAAGGGAUGGUGGAAAGGGGUUAGGUUAGGUAGGAAAGAGGAAAGUGACAGCGCGUCGGAAGAAAUAAGCGGAAAAUAGAGAAAAGCGGAGAGAGGCCAUGAUGGCAGUAGUAUAGGUCGGCAAUUUCUCGGACGCAGGAGCAAGAACUUUUAGCCCGUUAAUUUUAUGCAGACGGAGCUUCCUCUGGUUCUUCCUCCGCUAUUCCUCCGUUCAAUUCGACAAGGGUUCAGACCACGGGAAGGGUAGAACGGAACAGGAAAGAGCAUGCUACGUGGAAAAUGGCUGUGACCGCUAAUCCAAUCGGCUUUCGCGAGAAUUAAGGCUGCUCUUUUCUAGCGUCGCGCGUGGAUCCAAUUUGGCACUUAGGUAAUUAACGUUGCCUACGAGGCGGCCUGACAACGAACUUACGCGCGUAAUUAACGCAGUCGCGUAGGCUUAAAGCGACAUUGCAUUAACGUACGGGUUCGACCUGUUCGUCCCGAUGGAUGCUGGAUGUCGUGGAUAGAUGACGUGUUAGGAUCUGUCUGAAAGGGUGACAACUACGAAACUUACGACAGGGUAUUAGCUAUCGACGUAUGAAGACGUGAAUGCUAAAAUUUCUUUCAGUCAGCGUACUCCAUCCGACUCUUAGUACGUAGAAGAUAAAAUUCGUUUGUCAAAAAUAGGAAUUUUGCGUAUCAUGCAACAUCGGGGGAAAAAUUCAAGGGACCCGGUAAAAAUUUGUCUUCGCUUACGAUGCGCACAUACUCGCACGCCUGCCGCGAAUUUCCUGCGGAUUAUUCCGGAUUAAGCGACCAACUUUUAAUUGCAUUGUAUUUUGCGAUGGAAUGUUUAAUCAGCGGCGGAAAACGCGGAACAACGGCACACUUUUCAUCGACGCUCGGUAAUGCGCUUAGCCGAAAGUAAUCAGAAAGCAGGACGUGCGUUUUCGUCGGCUUUUUCGCCGGUUGCUUGCAACUGAACACUGUAUAAAGCAGUGUGCAAACUGGCGUCGAACCACCGAAUUUUCUAUGGAGAAUCCCAGCGAAAAAAGAAAGCCGGGUAUUUGAUGAGAAACCACUGGCUGUUAUCGUUCAUAACUAACUGGUGAAUUGCUGUUGAAUACAGGGAUUGGGAGAAAUUAUAAACCGUGUGGAUAUUAAUUACGUGCAAAAUUGCUUGUACAAUGAUUUCUGGUAAUCCGAGACGGAGGAAUAAUCCGUAAAUAUAAGUUGAAUUUAUAUGCACUGGCUGUUCGUAAGUAUUAGCAUAUCUGCAUUUUAUACGUGUGACAACAGGUUCAGAUAAUGGAAAUAAUUUUUAUGGCAAACACAUUGUUCUCAAAUAAUUCUCUAAUGUAAACUUCGUUAAACAAAUGUUGAACGAUUUAAAUACAAAAAUCCAGAGAAGUUUAUAUAUUCAACAUUUGUAAUUAAAUAACAGCAAAUACGACAGAAGCAUUAAUAAUUCGAAUGUCAGAAUUGGUUAAAAUAAUGGUCUAAAAACGCAAUAAAUGUAAACAAGAAAAAUGUAAUCUUAUUAAAGAUUAAAGAUAAAAUUUGCCUUAAAACGUU